This 237-nucleotide unclassified non-coding RNA is filed under the name uncultured Ascomycota. Its description in RNAcentral is "sequence contains ITS2". The record is from RNAcentral. Lineage: Eukaryota; Fungi; Ascomycota.
AACGCACAUUGCGCCCCUUGGUAUUCCGGGGGGCAUGCCUGUUCGAGCGUCAUUAUAACCCUCAAGCCUUGCUUGGUGUUGGAGCAUGCUUACCUAGCAGCUCUUAAAAUCAGUGGCAGUGCCCUUCGGCUCUAAGCGUAGUAAUUCUUCUCGCUAUAGGGUCUGGAGGGUCCGCGCCAGAACCCCCAACUUUCUAUGGUUGACCUCGGAUCAGGUAGGGAUACCCGCUGAACUUAA